CAAAUAUCUAAGCUUAGCUGGAUCUAACUCUCUCAAUAAAUUGAUUGCUGGAAAAAAGAAUAAAUCGAAUCGAAAAAUAAUAAAAAAAAUCUUUCCAACUUGGUUUCUCUCGAUCUUUCUUUCUCAUCUCUCUCUCUCCCCUAUUUUCCCCUCCUCCCCCUCGCUCUUUCUCUCCUGCAAACUUGGUUUUGAUCACCCUCGUCUCUCCUUGCGAAAUUAGGGGUUUGGAUCUGAAUAUCUACAGCGUUUGUGGGAGAGUGAGUGAGUGGUCUUUCAGUUUCAGCGUUAAUUCAUCCUCAAUUCCUAUGAUUUGAAAUCAGAAUCUCUAGAUACCGACUUUAGACUCUACCUUUGCUCUUAGGGUUUUACUUCUGAAGCAACUGAGAUGGUUGGUUCACCGAAUCCGAAUGGAUCAUCAUCGCCGACCAAAAAGUACGGCAUCACGAACCCAAUCUCUGUGGCGGGUCCCACCGACGCGGAUCUUCAUCGGAAUGAUUAUUUGGAAAAGUUCUUGAUCAAUUCGGGGCUUUACGAGAGCCAAGAAGAAGCUGCUAGGAGAGAGGAGGUUCUUGGUCGCAUUGCGGAGAUUGUAAAGGAUUGGGUGAAGCUGUUAACUCGCCAAAGAGGCUAUACAGAUCAGAUGGUGGAGGAUGCAAAUGCUGUCAUAUUCACUUUUGGGUCCUACAGAUUAGGAGUGCAUGGGCCUGGGGCUGAUAUUGACACCCUUUGUGUUGGGCCAUCCUAUGUGAAUCGAGAGGAGGAUUUUUUUAUUGUUUUGCACAAUAUACUUGCUGAAAUGGAAGAAGUUGCAGAACUUCAACCAGUUCCUGAUGCACAUGUUCCUGUAAUGAAGUUCAAGUUCCAAGGAAUUUCAAUUGAUCUUCUGUAUGCAAGUAUAUCUCUUUUGGUUGUUCCAAAAGAUCUGGACAUCUCUCAUGGAUCUGUGCUAUUUGAAGUGGACGAGCAAACUGUUCGAAGUCUUAAUGGGUGUAGGGUAGCAGAUCAAAUUCUUAAACUUGUCCCAAAUAUAGAGCAUUUUCGUACAACUCUCAGAUGUUUAAAAUUUUGGGCCAAAAGGCGUGGUGUUUAUUCAAAUGUUACUGGAUUCCUUGGUGGUGUCAACUGGGCUCUUUUAGUUGCUCGAGUAUGUCAGCUUUAUCCCAAUGCAAUUCCUAGUAUGCUGGUUUCUAAGUUUUUCAGGGUUUAUACACAAUGGAGAUGGCCAAAUCCUGUAAUGCUCUGUUCCAUUGAGGAGAAUGAACUUGGGUUCCCUGUUUGGGAUCCUCGUAAACACCCUCGAGAUCGAUUUCAUCUUAUGCCCAUAAUAACUCCUGCGUACCCAUGCAUGAAUUCUAGUUACAAUGUCUCAGCAAGUACUCUGCGAGUUAUGACAGAGCAGUUUCAAUGUGGUAACAGAAUUUGUGAGGAUAUUGAGUUGAACAAGGUCCAGUGGAGUGCUCUGUUUGAACCUUAUCUAUUUUUCGAGGCAUACAAAAACUAUUUGCAGGUGGAUAUUCUUGCAGCGGAUGCUGAUGAUUUGCUUGCAUGGAGGGGCUGGGUAGAGUCUCGGCUUAGACAGCUUACACUUAAGAUAGAGCGGGAUACAAAUGGGAUGUUGCAAUGCCAUCCUCAUCCACAUGAGUAUCUAGACACAUCAAGGUCAUCUGCACAUUGUUCUUUCUUCAUGGGCUUGCAGAGGAAAGAGGGAGUGAAGGGUCAAGAAGGUCAGCAGUUUGACAUCCGCGAAACAGUUGAUGAAUUUAGGCAAGACGUGAACAUGUAUGUGUUCUGGAAACCUGGGAUGGAUAUGUUUGUUUCACACGUUCGUAGAAAGCAGCUCCCUGCCUUUGUGUUUCCUGAUGGGUACAAACGGUCUCGAUUGUCAAGACAUAUAAGCCCUCAGGCCAAAAAGUUUAGCGAAGAUGCUGCAGGGUGCCAGCCAUCGUCUGCUGAAAAGAAGAGGAAACAUGAUUCUGAUGCAGUGGUUCCAAAGUCAAGCAAACAAAAUAAGCAAGACUCUGCUAGCCCACAAAGGCCAUCUUCUGUGUCCCCUAAUAGUAAUUUGUCUGGUGGUGUUAAAUUGGAGCUCCUAGGAACUGAUUAUUCCAACUGUGGUUCUGAGUUUAGGUCUUCUGAUGGAAUCUUGGAGAGUGAGAAUAAUAUAUCAGGGAAGAAUGUGGAGAUCUUCGAAAAUAUCACCCCAGAACUCGUUUCUAGUCAUUUAACUUUACAGCCCAAAGAAACCAGUGGAGAUGCUGCAGUAUCCCAGCCAUCCUCUGCUGAAAAUAAGAGGAAUAAUGAUUCUGAAGCAGUGAAUGUGAAGUCAAUCAAACAACAGAAGCAACACUCGGUUAGUCCACAGCAACCAGCUUCUGUGUCUCCUAAAAGUAAUAGGACUGGUAGUGUUAGAUUAGAGUGCCUGGAAACUGGUGAUGUAAAUUGCAGUUCUGAGUUUGGGUGUUCUGGUGGACUGUUGGAGAGUGAAGAGCUUAUGCCUAGCAAUAAUGUAGAGAUGGCUCAAUAUGCCAGGAAGGAACUUGUUAUAAGACACGUUAGUCAACAGGCUAAAGAAUCUAGAGAAGAUGCUGCAGGAUGCCGGCUUUCUUCCUCUGCUACAAGAAAAUGUCAAAGUGAUUCCGAAGCGAUGGAUGUGAAGCCUGUCACAGCACAGAAGCAAGCCUCUACAAGUUCACAACAAUCAGCUUCUGAAUCUCCGGAAAGUAAUAGGUCUGAUGGUGUUAGGCUAGAGUGCCUUAGGAAUGGUGGUGAAAAGUGCACAUCUGAGGAUACAAUUGGGAGUCGUGUAGAGAUGGCUCAGAAAUCUAUGCAAGAAUCCAUUUUGCCUGGGCCUGGGGAUGAGUUCAGGCCAGUUGAUUUUAGUGAGUCUGGUGUCUCAUGUGUUGUACUUUGUUCAGAAUUCAAGGAUACGCAGCAGAUUGGACAUAAUGGUAAUGGAGACAGAGUUGAGAAUUUGACAUUAGUUGACAUGGAAAAUGUGGAGAGUACAUCUUCCGGGAGGCGGCUGAAUUGGGCAGAAGGUGCUGUUGAUGUUGACCCAGAGCUAGUCAAGCCAUGUAAUCAAACAUCAAUCAUAGAAAAUGCUGAACAGGCAUUUAAACCAAGCUCUAAUGUUAAGAUCCUCAAUUGCGAGGUGAGUUUCUCCAUUUGAAGACUUUGGAUUAGGAAUUGUUGAGGAUGGCUGUGAGAUACUGGAAGUUCUAGAGAUAGUGAGUCAGGGGUCUUUGCAGGGUGAUGUAUGUGCUGGUGCAGGUUCGGAUAGCUUCACUGCCGGGAGUGGGUUGCUUCAGACUGGGUUAUAAGAAGAAUUUGAGGUCUUGCUUGAACUUAAAAACUUAUUUAUUCAGCUACUUAUGUGGGUUGCCUUUUGCUUUGCUUUCCUAAUCAUGUGGUAGCUGGUAUGGUUAACCCAUAGCUCCCAUUAUGAUUUUGCUUCGCUAUAGUUUGGUAUUUUCCUUCUAGCUAAAUGCUGCACCUGGAAGUAUGGUAUGCUCUAAAGAGGGAGUGAGGUCAGACUUUAUAGAAAACAGUGACAAGGCAUGUCUUUGAAACCUGAUCUUUUUAAUACGAACCAUUAUGUCUUUAUACUGGCCUGGUUUUUGUGUGGCUCUUGUGUACCAGGUUAUGUCUGAGAUCUGCAUUAUAACAUCUUACAAGAAAGAAUGGAGUCCCUCAUAUGAAGAAAGCCAGCAAAAACUCGGUAAGUGUGUGGUUAAAUGCUGGCUUUUGUGGCUCUCAUUAUGGUUUUCCAGGUGCAUAUGUGCGUGGUAGCAUUGGGGGUGGAACAGGACUAAGUUGGCCAUGUGAAGACCUGAUGCAUAUCUGAGUGAUUUAGCUUAUGGUUUUGUGGAUUUGAAGAGGAAUUUGCGGAGCUGUUGAAGUGCAAGCACCGAAGAAGCUUUGGGCAAAUGCUGGUGCAAAGACUUCUCUGCUUUGUUUGAUCAGUUUUUUCAUACUUCAUGCACACAUAAAGCUCAAUCAUUGUGCGAUUUUAUGAUGUUUCAUCUAAAAUUUGCGGCAAGUUAGAUGUUGAAAGCACAAUGUGCUUUUACCUUCUCACCGAUUGCGAUGACUUGUCAACAAUUCGUUUUUUAACAGCUUAUCUUUGUUCUCUAUUUCUCUUGAUCAAAUGUGAUAAUUAUUCUGCAAGUAAUUAGUUAUGCUGGCCAGUAUUGGUAUAACAUUACUGCUGCUGUUGUCAAUUUUUCUUUUACCUAAUUACUGUAAUUUUAAAAUAGAACAUUGAUGAAAUUGCUAUGAAGUGAUUCCAGUCUACGCUUA
Molecule: RNA transcript, 4299 nt
Organism: Cannabis sativa
Lineage: Eukaryota; Viridiplantae; Streptophyta; Magnoliopsida; Rosales; Cannabaceae
Gene name: nuclear poly(A) polymerase 4
Exons: 11
Source: RefSeq, a predicted model, not a curated record